Peromyscus maniculatus bairdii (prairie deer mouse) is the source of this 1124-nucleotide non-coding RNA. The record is from RefSeq and is a predicted model, not a curated record. Lineage: Eukaryota; Metazoa; Chordata; Mammalia; Rodentia; Cricetidae.
GUGUACAGAUUGUGUCUCGUGGGACAGACUCCACAGCCCAAAGGGCAGCACAGCUGAGUUGGGUGAGCUUUGCCCUCUCCAGGAUGGAGCCCACGGAGCUAUAGUGAAGAGAGAGUUGGAGAUGUGAGGUGCAGCCUACUCUUUGUCAAAUCAACCAGCCAACCAACCAAGAGUUCAAGAGAAAGACCAGCUCUUCUCCACAGCAUUCUGUGACUCAGGAAUAUGCAGGCAUUGACUAGACACCCUUAGAAGUGGCGACAGUGACCCUUGAGCCACAGAGCGGACCUCCAGUUUCUGCCCCCAUCAUGGAGAAGUGGCUUGCUGGUGGCCUCCCGGCCUCUGACCAUGGGCCCAUGGGACUAACCUGGAGCCUACAGUAGCACAGGACAGCAAUGAUACAGAGGAGGAUCACUGUCGCUAGGAUUCCGCCAGUGAUCACAACCGUUCCCGCUGUCAUCCGCCCGGCGCCCCAUCAAACUCUGCAAAGACGCAUGCCGGUCAGUGAGGAAGAGUUGAUCCACAUUCUCUGCACAGUAGUAGAUGGAUGUCCACUCCUGGGCCCGCCCUCCCUGUCUGUCCUGAUUCUGCUGCAUCUGGGCCUCAGCUGCCCCCUGCUCACCCAGUCCUGCAUCCUGUGUGGUCCCCUGGAUGAAGGGGUACCCAUUCCUUCACUCCAAGGUACCCCCUGCCCGGCAGGUGCUCCUAGAAGGCCAGCUUCUACUUCAUCUAGAGGCGGCGGCCUUGCUGCUCCUGACCGGUCUGUGGACCAGCAGCAUGGAUGUGUGCUAACAACAAGGCCUGAGGGCCGGAGGAGCGGGAUCUGCAUUUAAAAAAGCUCUCGGGUGAUUUAUUGGCACAUGAGUUAUUGGCACAGGGAUAUAGGAUGUGCCCAGCUGCUCUGACUGAAAUAUCUCAAAUUCUUUUGAUCUUCCAUUUUCUGUUCCCGGUGCCAGUUCACACUGAGCUGGUGUAACUGGCUCCGUAACUCACAUCCCUGGGGUUGUGUCUGAGUCCCAUUCCUUUCCCUGUAGUUUGGGCUUUUAUCAGCCCCUUCCUUCGGUGCCUGCCUGUGACUCCAGCACCUCUCUAGCACUGCCUGAAAAAUAAAUGUGUGUGUGUGUGUG